Erinaceus europaeus (western European hedgehog) is the source of this 312-nucleotide non-coding RNA. NCBI's taxonomy places the organism in Eukaryota, Metazoa, Chordata, Mammalia, Eulipotyphla, Erinaceidae. The record is from Rfam.
GGAUGUGAGGGCGAUCUGGCUGCGACAUCUGUCACCCCAUUGAUGGCCAGGGUUGAUUCGGCUGAUCUGGCUGGCUAGGCGGGUGUCCCCUUCCUCCCUCACUGCUCCAUGUGCGUCCCUCCCGAAGCUGCGUGCUUGGCUGAAGGGGACAGCCUUCCUGAAUAGAGAUGGGCCAGUCUUCAGUCGAGGGUAUACGAGUAGCUGCGCUCCCCUGCUAGAACCUCCAAACAAGCUCUCUAAUAUGAUUCUAAUAUUUAAAAUAUGUGUUUGUUUAUUUAUUUAUUUAUUUAUUUCAUAGGUCAGAGAGAAAUU